GUUGAACGCUGGCGGCGUGCCUUACACAUGCAAGUCGAACGAACACACGGGAGCAUUCCUGGUCGCGCGUGACCGACGGAUGAGUGAUAAAUCCGAGCAUGCCCAGUCUAGGGGGAUAGCACGACUAAGGGCGGACUGAUACCGCAUACGACCUACGAGUGAACGCCAGGGAUCACUAGAGAUCGAGGGAUCUGAGCUGCCGAUGACAGAUUAGCUAGUUGGUGGGGUAAAGGCGUACCAAGGCGACGAUCUGUAGCCGGUCUGAGAGGACGACCUGCCACACUGGAACUGAGACACGGCCCAGACUCCUACGGGAGGCAGCAGUGGGGAAUCUUGCACAAAGGGCGCAAGCCUGACGCAGCAACGCCGCGUGCGUGAUGAAGGUCUUCGGGUCGUAAAACUCUGUUGUCAGGGAAGAAACGCUCUGUGCUAAUACCACCGCGUAAUGACGGUACCUGAAGAGUAAGCAACGGCUAACUACGUG
This 484-nucleotide ribosomal RNA is filed under the name uncultured bacterium. RNAcentral's name for it is "partial 16S ribosomal RNA". It matches the Rfam family "Bacterial small subunit ribosomal RNA", at positions 28 to 507 of the family's 1533-position model. The record is from RNAcentral.